CUUACUAAUUUUUCUUUUUAUUCUCGCUCUUCUCAUUUGUUGUGUCCUCCCAUGCCUAAGGAAAUUCCUGCAGAAAACCGUAGACCAAGCAACACCAACCUUCACUCAUCUGACAAUCGAUGAUCAAGAUCUCACCUCACCCUGUAUUCCGCUACAAACUCUCCCUUAUACUGAUGAAGUGCAGAAAGUCUAGGAAGGGACAGUAAAGGGACAGCGUCCGUCUUUAUGGGUAGACUGCCGUACGGAGAAGUAGUGGAUAAGCCACUAUGGGUUACCAGCGGAGUGAAGAGUGUUCCUGAACCGUACUGAUGGAUGUGCUGCAGCCUGUUAGGGUCAAGAGAGGGAUAGACUUGCACUUUGCAUUAACACUAAGUCAGCGGUCAUGGGGUUUCUGUGUCUUUGGGCUAACACAUCUUCCGAUACUAACAAAUAAAGUUUUGUCUUUUAGCAAAUAACAUUUUAGGGGGGACUGUUGUAGAAUUAUUAGGCCUCUAUAAAUCUGUAAGGCCCCUUUAAAUCCUCUUGCUAUACCUCUAAGAGGCCCCCAUAGUUUUACA
This is a non-coding RNA of Pelobates cultripes (western spadefoot toad), 557 nucleotides long. Lineage: Eukaryota; Metazoa; Chordata; Amphibia; Anura; Pelobatidae. The record is from the annotation of a GenBank genome assembly.